RNAcentral lists this ribosomal RNA (459 nucleotides) under uncultured bacterium. Its description in RNAcentral is "partial 16S ribosomal RNA". It matches the Rfam family "Bacterial small subunit ribosomal RNA", at positions 338 to 795 of the family's 1533-position model. The record is from RNAcentral.
CCUACGGGAGGCAGCAGUGAGGAAUAUUGGUCAAUGGGCGAGAGCCUGAACCAGCCAAGUCGCGUGAGGGAAGACGGUCCUAUGGAUUGUAAACCUCUUUUGCCGGGGAGCAAAAAGCGGUACGCGUACCGCAUCGAGAGUACCCGGAGAAAAAGCAUCGGCUAACUCCGUGCCAGCAGCCGCGGUAAUACGGAGGAUGCGAGCGUUAUCCGGAUUUAUUGGGUUUAAAGGGUGCGCAGGCGGCGUGUUAAGUCAGCGGUAAAAUUUCGGGGCUCAACCCCGACGAGCCGUUGAAACUGGCGUGCUAGAGUGGGCGAGAAGUAGGCGGAAUUCGUGGUGUAGCGGUGAAAUGCAUAGAUAUCACGCAGAACUCCGAUUGCGAAGGCAGCAUACCGGCGCCCAACUGACGCUCAGGCACGAAAGCGUGGGUAUCGAACAGGAUUAGAUACCCUUGUAGUC